This 253-nucleotide ribosomal RNA is filed under the name uncultured bacterium. RNAcentral describes it as "partial 16S ribosomal RNA". It matches the Rfam family "Bacterial small subunit ribosomal RNA", at positions 524 to 776 of the family's 1533-position model. The record is from RNAcentral.
UACGUAGGGUGCGAGCGUUGUCCGGAAUUAUUGGGCGUAAAGGGCUCGUAGGCGGUUUGUCGCGUCGGGAGUGAAAACCCAGGGCUUAACCCUGGGCUGGCUUCCGAUACGGGCAGACUAGAGGUAUGCAGGGGAGAACGGAAUUCCUGGUGUAGCGGUGAAAUGCGUAGAUAUCUGGAGGAACACCGGUGGCGAAGGCGGCAUCCUGGACCGGUAUUGACGCUGAGGCGCGAAAGCCAGGGGAGCAAACGGG